GAUUUGAGGAUGCACAGUCUCUUCCAAAACCAGGGCCAGGAGGAGUGGGAGGAGCUUUCUCAAGGGAGAAGAAGCAUAAGGAGAGACAAGAGUCUCUCUCCACCCCACAUACUUCCCAUAAACCACAGUGUCAGGCUCUAAAAGUAUCCCUGAUGCUCUAAAGUCAACUGAGAAACCAGUUCCAGGGGUUAAAACUUGUCUGAGAUAACAACUAAAUUCUAUUUGAUUUCCCACUAUUGGUCAUCUGCUGGGAAUGAGGCAUAAGCCCAGCUCUGUCACAUGGAGGAAAAACAUGAUGCAAUUAACCAAGUUGCUAGUGCAUCAUCUCAUCCUGACCUCUGCCACCAGCCUCCAUCCAGGCCAUCCCCUGCAAUCCCACACAGCCAGCUGGGCCCCUGGGGGCCAUCCCAGCCCCCUCCUCCUGGGUUCCCUUCCCAGGUCCAACUGAGGAUCUUCGCGUGAAGCUCACCUCAGGUACCUAUGUCUGAAUCCCACCAGCAGUGCAAAGACCCUUCCUGGAGGGGAAAGCUCAAGAAACCAGAGCAGCUCCACAGCCCAGGCCUGGAGGGGAAGCCAGAGGGAGUUUAUGCAGCAGGAGCCCUGGGCCGGCCCCGCCCGGCUGCCUGCCUGACUGAGGGCUGCCUCUGCAGUUGAGUCGUCCCCAUCCCCUGGGGGACUGUUUUCUCUAAUAAUCCUUUAAUAUUAGGAAAUAUCUGUCAGUGUUUACAAUUUCCUGAAUGUCUUCAAUUUGCUCCCUUUUUUGUGAUGUUUGUUUGAAUGAAGAAUCUAAAGAUCUGUACAUUGUCAUUGAUAGAUAUAUCUCUGAAAUCCUUUGUAGUUUAGUUUACCCUCUAAGUAAAUCCUCUCUCCACUUUUUUAAUGAAAAAAAAAGUGUCCUUUUUAAUGAAAGCAAAGUAAGGUUGUUUAUGCUGCAGUUUCCCAAACCUGAAUUUUUAAAAUUAAAACACAGUAAAGUCCUUGAAGAACCCUCUCUUCCUUGUGUAGCCUGUAAACUGGCAAUUACAUCCAGAGGCCAGAUUCAGAUUUGAUUAUAAUUAAUAUCUCUCUCUCUCUCUCUC
This 1079-nucleotide long non-coding RNA is filed under the name Heterocephalus glaber (naked mole-rat). RNAcentral describes it as "lncRNA (ENSHGLG00000034967.1)". Lineage: Eukaryota; Metazoa; Chordata; Mammalia; Rodentia; Bathyergidae. The record is from RNAcentral.